Molecule: ribosomal RNA, 439 nt
Filed under: uncultured bacterium
Lineage: Bacteria
Description: partial 16S ribosomal RNA
Rfam family: Bacterial small subunit ribosomal RNA
Source: RNAcentral
CUACGGGGGGCACCAGUGAGGAAUAUUGCACAAUGGGGGGAACCCUGAUGCAGCAACGCCGCGUGGAGGAUGACGCAUUUCGGUGUGUAAACUCCUUUUAUAUGUCAAGAAAAUGACGGUAGCAUAUGAAUAAGCACCGGCUAACUCCGUGCCAGCAGCCGCGGUAAUACGGAGGGUGCAGGCGUUACUCGGAAUCACUGGGCGUAAAGGACGCGUAGGCGGGUUGGAAAGUCAGGUGUGAAAUCCUACAGCUUAACUGCCGAACUGCACUUGAAACUUCUAAUCUAGAGUAUGGGAGGGGGAGAUGGAAUUAGUGGUGUAGGGGUAAAAUCCGUAGAUAUCACUAGGAAUACCUAAAGCGAAGGCGAUCUCCUGGAACAUUACUGACGCUAAGGCGUGAAAGCGUGGGGAGCAAACAGGAUUAGAUACCCCAGUAGUC